CGAUUCAAUAUAGUUUGAUUAGUAAUUAUGUUUCUUUAAGUUUCUUUAAAAUUUCAUUAGAAAAUCAUUUUUUAGGUUAUUGUAUUAGAUAAGGAUUUAAUUGGUUGAAAAGUAUUAAGUACUGUGAAGGGUAUAAAAUAGUGAUUAUUAAAGAGUAAGUUGUAUUAGUUAUACGUACCUUGUGUAUCAGGGUCAAUUAAUUAGAAGAUAUGUAAUUGUUUUUCUCGAUUUUUUUAGAGUUAAUAAUUUAUGGUUAUUAUUGUGUAAGGAAUAUUACUAAUAAUUUGUUAGUGGUGAAAUAUCAUUCGUUGAAAAUGGUAUCUAGUUUCUUGGGAAAUUAAUUCAAUUAAAAUUUUUUUUUUAAUGAUUUUAAUUAAUAGAAAACUUUAAAGGAAAAUUACUAAUAAGUGGGAUAAGCUUUUUAUUAGAAGUUUAGAAGGUAAAUUGUUCACUAUAUUUCAUAGGUUUAAUAUUGGCUAAUAGUUAAAGUAUGUAAAAAUUUUAUAUAGUAGUGAGAUUGAUUUAUUAACCUUUAAUAAUUUACUGAGAUAUAUUAAUGAUCUUUAUAGUAGUAUUAAUAAUGAUUGAAUUAGUAAAAUGUAUUUAUAAGGUAAUAUAAUGAUAAAUUGGGGUGAGGAAUUCGGCAAUAGCUUAUUCGCCUGUUUAACAAAAACAUCUCCUCUUGGUUUAAUUAUGAGGUAUAACCUGCCCAAUGAAUGAAUUUAAUGGCCGCGGUACCUUGACCGUGCAAAGGUAGCAUAAUCAUUAGUCUUUUAAUUGGAGGCUGGAAUGAAUGGUUGGACGAGAUAAGUACUUUCUUAUUCAAAUAUGAUUAAAUUUAAUUAUUGAGUGAAAAAGCUUAAAUUUUUUUAUGGGACGAGAAGACCCUAUAGAGUUUAAUAAUUAUAAUUUGAUAGUUGAUAUGUAACUGAAUUUUAAUUAAUAAUUAUUUUGUUGGGGUGAUUGAAAGAUAAAUGUAACUCUUUCUUUAAUAUGUUUAUUGAUUUAUAUAUUUUUGAUCCAUUAUUAAUGAUUAUAAGACUAAAUUACCUUAGGGAUAACAGCGUGAUCUUUUCUGAGAGUUCUUAUCGAAGUUAAGGAUUGCGACCUCGAUGUUGGAUUAAAGAUUAGACUUAGGUGUAGCAGUUUAAGUUCUAGGUCUGUUCGACCUUUAAAUUCUUACAUGAUCUGAGUUCAAACCGGCGUGAGCCAGGUUGGUUUCAAUCUAUUAAAAUAUUAAAUACUUUAGUACGAAAGGACCAAGUAUUUAAAAUAAUUUUUAUAUCAGAAUAUUAUUAAGUGACUAUUUUGGCAGACAAGUGCAAUGGAUUUAGAAUCUAUAAAUGUAAUAUUAUAUUACAG
This 1362-nucleotide ribosomal RNA is filed under the name Elliptorhina chopardi. Its description in RNAcentral is "16S ribosomal RNA". The stretch from base 872 to 1229 matches the Rfam family "Archaeal large subunit ribosomal RNA", at positions 2152 to 2714 of the family's 2987-position model. The record is from RNAcentral. Lineage: Eukaryota; Metazoa; Arthropoda; Insecta; Blattodea; Blaberidae.